GAAAGCCGUAUGAUAGAUGGUAAAUAUCUUGUACGGUUCGGGGGGUAAUCGGCGUACUCUGAUCAGUGGGGGGAAUCUUUGGCUCUAU
This 88-nucleotide small RNA is filed under the name Salix viminalis (osier). Lineage: Eukaryota; Viridiplantae; Streptophyta; Magnoliopsida; Malpighiales; Salicaceae. The record is from RNAcentral.